UACGAAGGGGGCUAGCGUUGCUCGGAAUUACUGGGCGUAAAGCGCGCGUAGGCGGUAAUGCAAGUCAGGGGUGAAAUCCCGGAGCUCAACUCCGGAACUGCCUUUGAAACUGCAUUGCUGGAGUGUGUGAGGGGAUAGCGGAAUUCCUAAUGUAGAGGUGAAAUUCGUAGAUAUUAGGAGGAACACCGGUGGCGAAGGCGGCUAUCUGGCACACAACUGACGCUGAGGCGCGAAAGCGUGGGGAUCAAACAGG
RNAcentral lists this ribosomal RNA (253 nucleotides) under uncultured bacterium. Its description in RNAcentral is "partial 16S ribosomal RNA". It matches the Rfam family "Bacterial small subunit ribosomal RNA", at positions 524 to 776 of the family's 1533-position model. The record is from RNAcentral.